Molecule: transfer RNA, 71 nt
Filed under: Marmota monax (woodchuck)
Lineage: Eukaryota; Metazoa; Chordata; Mammalia; Rodentia; Sciuridae
Description: tRNA.Ala
Source: RNAcentral
GGGGUUGUGGCUCAGUGGCAGAGCGCUUGCCUAGCAUGCACCAGGCACUGGGUUCGAUCCUCAGCACCACA